RNAcentral lists this ribosomal RNA (448 nucleotides) under uncultured Spirochaeta sp. RNAcentral describes it as "bacterial SSU rRNA". It matches the Rfam family "Bacterial small subunit ribosomal RNA", at positions 930 to 1382 of the family's 1533-position model. Lineage: Bacteria; Pseudomonadati; Spirochaetota; Spirochaetia; Spirochaetales; Spirochaetaceae. The record is from RNAcentral.
CGGUGGAGCAUGUGGUUUAAUUCGAUGAUACGCGAGAAACCUUACCAGGGCUUGACAUAUACAGGAAUGUUGUAGAGAUACAGCAGCCGCUUGCGGUCUGUAUACAGGUGCUGCAUGGCUGUCGUCAGCUCGUGCUGUGAAGUGUGGGUUAAGUCCCGCAACGAGCGCAACCCUAUCAUCUGUUGCCAGCAUUUAAGGUGGGGACUCAGAUGAGACUGCCGGUGACAAACCGGGGAAGGUGGGGACGACGUCAAGUCAUCAUGGCCCUUAUGUCCUGGGCUACACACGUGCUACAAUGGCCGGUACAGAGUGAAGCGAAACCGCGAGGUGAAGCAAAACGCAGAAAGCCGGUCUCAGUACGGAUUGGAGUCUGAAACUCGACUUCAUGAAGUUGGAAUCGCUAGUAAUCGCGCAUCAGCAUGGCGCGGUGAAUACGUUCCCGGGCCUU